AGCGAACGCUGGCGGCAGGCUUAACACAUGCAAGUCGAGCGCCCCGCAAGGGGAGCGGCCGACGGGAGAGUAACACGUGGGAACAUACCUUUUGGUUCGGAACAACUGAGGGAAACUUCAGCUAAUACCGGAUAAGCCCUUACGGGGAAAGAUUUAUCGCCGAAAGAUUGGCCCGCGUCUGAUUAGCUAGUUGGUGAGGUAACGGCUCACCAAGGCGACGAUCAGUAGCUGGUCUGAGAGGAUGAUCAGCCUCACUGGGACUGAGACACGGCCCAGACUCCUACGGGAGGCAGCAGUGGGGAAUAUUGGACAAUUGGGGCAACCCUGAUCCAGCCAUGCCGCGUGAGUGAUGAAGGCCUUAGGGUUGUAAAGCUCUUUUGCCCGGGAAGAUAAUGACGGUACCGGGAGAAUAAGCCCCGGCUAACUUCGUG
Molecule: ribosomal RNA, 431 nt
Filed under: uncultured bacterium
Lineage: Bacteria
Description: partial 16S ribosomal RNA
Rfam family: Bacterial small subunit ribosomal RNA
Source: RNAcentral